Molecule: long non-coding RNA, 1509 nt
Filed under: Heterocephalus glaber (naked mole-rat)
Lineage: Eukaryota; Metazoa; Chordata; Mammalia; Rodentia; Bathyergidae
Description: lncRNA (ENSHGLG00000042620.1)
Source: RNAcentral
GGAGGCAGGUGGUAAACAGGAAAUGGUUAAGUAGGAGCAGGUGGAGUGGGUGCGGUGCUGGAACAGGCAGGAAAUAGCUGAGCAGCUGAAUGGACUCACAAGAAUGCUUUGCCAACUCCCCAAGGCUGGGGCAAAGGCGCCGGCUGCCCCCUCCUCCCAGCCCUGCACAGCGAGGUGUCUGGCCUGGCAGCGCCUGGCUGGCCCCACUGUCCUCCUCGGUUCUGCCUGGGGCUGAAAGGAGCAGGCCACGGGGCUAGGAGGAGAAUGGUGGUUCCUACAGGGGCGUGAGUGACCGGCUUUGAGGGUGCAGGUUAUGAGGGGCUACAGGAGGUGGACAAGAUUGCCAAGGACCUGGAGUGCUUUUCCUCUUCUGGUUCUUUGUUCCCCAGAGGGCCCUUUGGAUUGACUGGGACCCCCCAGGAGCGGUCGGUCCCACCCUCGGUCGAGCAUGCUGCCAGCUGGCUACUGGAUGUGGGCAGGAGCUGAACACCCCAGGCUUUUUUCAGCCUCCCAUUUGUUCCUUGUAAUACAGUACAACCCAAAGAAGAGGUACUUUCCCACUUCAUGGACAAGAAGCUGAGGCCCAGAGAAGGGAGAUACGCUGUCCUCGUGGUAGUGAUGUAGUGGGUUCCCUUCUCUGCACUCAAGCCUGGGCAGCUUGGCCUGGAGUCUGCACUCUGACCCGGUACUGUGCUACCUGGGUGAGGAGACUUUGGAGGAGGCCAGAGGGGACCGUGUGGACAAAGGCUGGGAGGCUUGGGACGGUCAGGUAAGGUUGAGAACUCCGAGCACCUAGCUAUUCCUAGAGGGCAGGGGUGACAGGAGAGGAGCUCUGAGGUUUGCCUCACAAGGCAGAGCCUUUGACCUUUGUCCAGCCUCUGCUCCAUGGCCUGAAAAACCACAGGAAAGAGAGAGUGGGCCUUACAAACAAGGCAAAGAAGUAGAUUUACACUGCCUGACUUCCAGAAUUGCUAGACAGCUAGAAUGAUCAGGACAGUGGAAAUACUUAAAGGAUAAAUGUUUAUUUUUUUACACCCCGCCCCAACCCGGUACCAGGGAUUGAACUCAGGACCUUGCACUUGCUAGUCAACUGAGUAAGAAUAAUCCAAUUUUUAAAAUAGGUAAUAUAUUUGAAAAUAUCCUUCCCCAAGGAAGAUAUAUGAAUGGCAAGUAAACACAUGAAAAGAUGUUUAAUCCCUAAAUUAAAAGCAUAGAAACUACAACAUACCUUUUGGAGUGGCUAGGAUAAAAACAAAGAUCUAAUUAUCUUAAGUCCCAGGGAAGGUAUGGAGCAACUGGAACUCACAUAUAUUGCUGGUGUGGAUCCAAAGCGGUACAUCCACUUUGGAAAAUGGUUUGGCAGUUUAGUAUAAAGUUAAAUAUAUUUAUUUAUCAUGUGAUUCAGCAGUGCCAUUUUUAGAUAUUUACCAAGGGAAAUGAAAAGUUAGGUCCACACAAACAUUUUUUACAAAUAUUUAUAAUGGCUUUAAUCAUAAUUAUAAAAAUCUG